UUAAGCUUCAGCAGUAGAUAUUCUAAAAUUGGAAUGGUAAGGAUAAGAUUAUAAGAAUGGUUUCUGCACAAAGAUGACAAAUUAAUCUGUGAAUUAAUUUCCACAUUUUU
Small nuclear RNA from Octopus sinensis (East Asian common octopus), 110 nucleotides. The record is from RefSeq and is a predicted model, not a curated record. NCBI's taxonomy places the organism in Eukaryota, Metazoa, Mollusca, Cephalopoda, Octopoda, Octopodidae.